UACGAAGGGGGCUAGCGUUGCUCGGAAUCACUGGGCGUAAAGCGCACGUAGGCGGCUUCUUAAGUCAGGGGUGAAAUCCUGGAGCUCAACUCCAGAACUGCCUUUGAUACUGAGGAGCUUGAGUCCGGGAGAGGUGAGUGGAACUGCGAGUGUAGAGGUGAAAUUCGUAGAUAUUCGCAAGAACACCAGUAGCGAAGGCGGCUCACUGGCCCGGUACUGACGCUGAGGUGCGAAAGCGUGGGGAGCAAACAGG
Molecule: ribosomal RNA, 253 nt
Filed under: uncultured bacterium
Lineage: Bacteria
Description: partial 16S ribosomal RNA
Rfam family: Bacterial small subunit ribosomal RNA
Source: RNAcentral